UUCCUCUUAUCGGCCAGCUUGUGUAGAGAGAGUAAAGGCAGUAAGUCCAAACUGCAGAUAGAGAGAAAAACAUCUUCAUCCAAGUAGAGAGUGAAGAGUGUUUUACUACAUGUUGAGUGUGUAGUUGUGGUUAGGUAGCAAAACAAGUGUGAGAGAGAGUUUCCUUCAAGUAGUUGUUCUUGAAGUUGUGUAUCUCUUGUACCCACAUUAUCAUAGUGGAAGUUCUUGUUGUUGCUGCUCCGUGGACGUAGGCAUCUUGCUGAACCACGUUAUAUCUGGUCAAUUGCUGAUUGGAUUGGCUUUAUUUGUUGACAACAAAUUGCCAAUUAGUGUGGACACUGAUUUACUCAUUGGCUGUUAUGAUUCUUUGUCAAUUAGGAUGGUCUAUAUUAGAUACCCUGUCAGAUUCUCAUGAACUUGACAUAUCUCAGUGUUAGAGGUCUUUAUGAGUCUACCCCAUUUCAGAUGUGGCCAACAUUCCAAUGGCUAGAAUCAUCUAGAUUUGUCUUUGUUCUUUUGCUUUAG
This 525-nucleotide long non-coding RNA is filed under the name Rosa chinensis. RNAcentral describes it as "sRNA RchiOBHm_Chr2g0167621". The record is from RNAcentral. Lineage: Eukaryota; Viridiplantae; Streptophyta; Magnoliopsida; Rosales; Rosaceae.